This 336-nucleotide unclassified non-coding RNA is filed under the name soil metagenome. RNAcentral describes it as "partial contains 5.8S ribosomal RNA, internal transcribed spacer 2, and large subunit ribosomal RNA". The stretch from base 1 to 120 matches the Rfam family "5.8S ribosomal RNA", at positions 35 to 154 of the family's 154-position model. The record is from RNAcentral.
GAUGAAGAACGUAGCAAAAUGCGAUAAGUAAUGUGAAUUGCAGAAUUCAGUGAAUCAUCGAAUCUUUGAACGCACAUUGCGCCCGCCAGUAUUCUGGCGGGCAUGCCUGUUCGAGCGUCAUUUCAACCAUCAAGCCCCCGGCUUGUGUUGGGGACCUGCGGCUGCCGCAGGCCCUGAAAAGCAGUGGCGGGCUCGCUGUCACACCGAGCGUAGUAGAUUUCAUCUCGCUCAGGGCGUGCUGCGGGUUCCGGCCGUUAAACCACCUUCAUAACCCAAGGUUGACCUCGGAUCAGGUAGGAAGACCCGCUGAACUUAAGCAUAUCAAUAAGCGGAGGA